CUUUACUGUAGCUUGGAAUUGACUUUGGGUUUAUUUUGCGCAGUAUAUGUGGGAGGCUAAGAAAGUAUAUUUCUGGAUAUAUUCGAGCCGACAGUGAGAUACCACUCUGAAUAAACUAAAAUUCUAACUUUGAUAGUCGUUAACCGGCCAAAGAACAUUUCCAGGUGGGCAGUUUCACUGGGGCGGUCGCCUCCUAAAAAGUAACGGAGGCGUGCAAACGUUUCCACAGACUGGUCGGAAAUCAGUCUUCGAGUAUAAAGGGAUAAGGAAGCUUGACUGCAAGACCUACAAGUCGAGCAGAGACGAAAGUCGGCCUUAGUGAUCCGACAGUGCUGAGUGGAAAGGCUGUCGCUCAACGGAUAAAAGUUA
RNAcentral lists this ribosomal RNA (369 nucleotides) under Mazzaella japonica. Its description in RNAcentral is "bacterial LSU rRNA". It matches the Rfam family "Bacterial large subunit ribosomal RNA", at positions 2099 to 2465 of the family's 2925-position model. Lineage: Eukaryota; Rhodophyta; Florideophyceae; Gigartinales; Gigartinaceae. The record is from RNAcentral.